This is a non-coding RNA of Xyrichtys novacula (pearly razorfish), 4698 nucleotides long. The record is from the annotation of a GenBank genome assembly. Lineage: Eukaryota; Metazoa; Chordata; Actinopteri; Labriformes; Labridae.
CCACAUAUUUCAAAGUCUUAUAACUUUUUAUUUUUGUCCUCACUGGCCUCCAAGUUUUCUAGGAUGAUGCAAUGUCCAGCCAUCAACACAUUUGUGAAGGAAUUUUUACUCCCCAAAAGAGCGCCCCCCCCAUGGCAGGAGAAAAAAGUCCAUUUUUUCUUGUCCCCUAAGGUGAAAAUUCACACUAUUGACUGUCACGCCUGUACGCUUUGUCAUAUUGACACAAAAAUUGACACACACGUGUAUCUCAAUAAGAUCUACGAAAAAGUCAAUGCGCACGUAUCUGUCAAAUGUACGGUUAAAGGGUUAUUUCGCAUUUUUUGCAGAUCCGCACACAUUGGAAUUUCGCUAACUCCUCCGAAGGCUUUCGUUCCACCGGCACCACAUUUGCUCAGGCCAAUCUACACCCCAUGGCCAUUAAAAGUUAUUCAAAUCAUGAUGCUGCACCCCACGGUUUAGGUUCUAGGGGGCGCCAAAUAUAACCCUAAAAUCCACAUAUUUAAAAGUCUUAUAACUUUUUAUUUUUGUCCUCACUGGCCUCCAAGUUCUCUAGGAUGAUGCAAUGUCCAGCCAUCAACACAUUUGUGAAGGAAUUUUUACUCCCCAAAAGAGCGCCCCCCCAUGGCAGGAGAAAAAAGUCCAUUUUUUCUUGUCCCCUAAGGUGAAAAUACAUAUUGUUGAGUGUCACGCCUGUACGCUUUGUCAUAUUGACACAAAAUUUGACAAUCACGUGUGUCUCAAUAACAUCUACGAAAAAGUCAAUGCACGCAUAUCUGUAAAAUGUACGGUUAAAGGGCUAUUUUGCAUUUUUUGCCGAUUCGCACACAUUGGAAUGUGGCUAACUCCUCCUAAGGCUUUCGUCCCACUGACACCAAAUUUGCUCAGGCCAAUCUACACCCCAUGGCCAUUCAAAGUUGUAAAAAUCAUGACGCUGCACCCCACGGUUUACGUUCUAGGGGGCGCCAAAGAUGACCCAAAUAUCCACAUUCUUAAAAGAAUCCACCCCCCCCCCCCCCAUUCCCCAUCCCCCAUGGCAGGAGAAACAGUCAAGUUUUUCCUGCCCAUCACUCAAUGGCUCAAUCACAUCGCUCUCCCGGCAACACCGUAACGAGGAGCAACUUGCCGUUUGGAUAUAUCCUAGCUGUGUUUGUGCCCUCACUCAUGGUCCAGACUUUUUUCAAAUAGGACAUGUAGUUUGUCUGCAGCGAGUGUUUUGGUAGAAACUGCGCCUCCCAUUCAUUAUAAUGGGAAAUGACCACAGACAAGUGCGCACACCAUCUUUGGACCUUGAGUGUGACGCGAUCGGGGGGGAGGCGGUCGCGCUGGGGGCGGCGCGACGCGGCUCGGGCCCGACAGUGCCCCACCGGGGCCCUAGUUAGGGCCCGAGCGUAGCUGCUAAGCAGCUGCGAGAGCCCUAUUAUUCCCCAAGUGGUUUUUCUUUGUUUCUUUAGGGCCCGAGCGUAGCUGCUAAGCAGCUGCGAGAGCCCUCUUGUUCCUGUAGUUUCCUUCUUUUGUUAUUAUUAUUAUUAUUAUUUUUCCUCCCCUUUGAACUGGAAAAUGGCCCACUUCCCACUGGCGAAAACUCAUGAAAUUUGGCAGGACGACCGGGCCUGGUGAAAAAUUUGAUAUUCCGAAGUCGCCCAAACAAGAAAAUGCAAAAUGGCUCCAUAGCGCCCCCUAAGGUGAAAAUUCACACUAUUCACUGUCACGCCGGUACGCUUUGUCAAAAUGACACAAAAAUUGACACACACAUGUAUCUCAAUAAGAUCUACAAAAAAGUCAGUGCGGGCGUAUCUGUCAAAUGUACGGUUAAAGGGUUAUUUCGCAUUUUUUGCCGAUCCGCACACAUUGGAAUUUCGCUAACUCCUCCGAAGGCUUUCGUUCCACCGGCACCACAUUUGCUCAGGCCAAUCUACACCCCAUGGCCAUUAAAAGUUAUUCAAAUCAUGACGCUGCACCCCACGGUUUAGGUUCUAGGGGGCGCCAAAGAUAACCCUAAGAUCCACAUAUUUAAAAGUCUUAUAACUUUUUAUUUUUGCCCUCACUGGCCUCCAAGUUUUCUAGGAUGAUGCAAUGUCCAGCCAUCAACACAUUUGUGAAGGAAUUUUUACUCCCCAAAAGAGCGCCCCCCCAUGGCAGGAGAAAAAAGUCCAUUUUUUCUUGUCCCCUAAGGUGAAAAUACACAUUGUUGAGUGUAACACCUGUACGCUUUGGCAAAAUGACACAAAAAUUGACACACACAUGUAUCUCAAUAAGAUCUACGAAAAAGUCAAUGCGCGCGUAUCUGUCAAAUGUACGGUUAAAGGGUUAUUCUGCAUUUUUUGCCGAUCCGCACACAUUGGAAUGUGGCUAACUCCUCCUAAGGCUUUCGUUCCACCGGCACCACAUUUGCUCAGGCCAAUCUACACCCCAUGGCCAUUAAAAGUUAUUCAAAUCAUGAUGCUGCACCCCACGGUUUAGGUUCUAGGGGGCGCCAAAGAUAACCCUAAAAUCCACAUAUUUCAAAGUCUUAUAACUUUUUAUUUUUGUCCUCACUGGCCUCCAAGUUUUCUAGGAUGAUGCAAUGUCCAGCCAUCAACACAUUUGUGAAGGAAUUUUUACUCCCCAAAAGAGCGCCCCCCCAUGGCAGGAGAAAAAAGUCCAUUUUUUCUUGUCCCCUAAGGUGAAAAUACACAUUGUAGAGUGCCACGCCUGUACGCUUUGUCAAAAUGACACAAAAUUUGACAUACACGUGUAUUUCAAUAAGAUCUUCGAAAAAGUCAAUGGCCACGUAUCUGUAAAAUGUACGGUUAAAGGGUUAUUCCGCAUUUUUUUCCGAUCCGCACACAUUGGAAUUUCGCUAACUCCUCCGAAGGCUUUCGUUCCACCGGCACCACAUUUGCUCAGGCCAAUCUACACCCCAUGGCCAUUAAAAGUUAUUCAAAUCAUGACGCUGCACCCCACGGUUUACGUUCUAGGGGGCGCCAAAGAUAACCCUAAAAUCCACUUAUUUAAAAGUCUUAUAACUUUUUAUUUUUGUCCUCACUGGCCUCCAAGUUCUCUAGGAUGAUGCAAUGUCCAGCCAUCAACACAUUUGUGAAGGAAUUUUUACUCCCCAAAAGAGCGCCCCCCCAUGGCAGGAGAUAAAACUCCAUUUUUUCUUGUCCCAUAAGGUGAAAAUACACAUUGUUGACUGUCAUACCUGUACGCUUUGUCAUAUUGACACAAAAUUUGACAAUCACAUGUAUCUCAAUAAGAUCUACGAAAAAGUCAAUGCGCGCGUAUCUGUAAAAUGUACGGUUAAAGGGCUAUUUUGCAUUUUUGCCGAUUCGCACACAUUGGAAUGUGGCUAACUCCUCCUAAGGCUUUCGUCCCACUGACACCAAAUUUGCUCAGGCCAAUCUACAUCCCAUGGCCAUUCAAAGUUGUAAAAAUCAUGACGCUGCACCCCACGGUUUACGUUCUAGGGGGCGCCAAAGAUGACCCAAAUAUCCACAUUCUUAAAAGAAUCCCCCCCCCCCCCAUCCCCCAUCCCCCAUCCCCCAUGGCAGGAGAAACAGUCAAGUUUUUCCUGCCCAUCCCUCAAUGGCUCAAUCGCAUCGCUCUCCUGGCAACACCGUAACGAGGAGCAACUUGCCGUUUGGAUAUAUCCUAGCUGUGUUUGUGGACCCACUCAUGGUCCAGACUUUCUUCAAAUAGGACAUGUAGUUUGUCUGCAGCGAGUGUUUGGUAGAAACUGCGCCUCCCAUUCAUUAUAAUGGGAAAUGACCACAGACAAGUGCGCACACCAUCUUUGGACCUUGAGUGUGACGCGAUCGGGAGGGGGGGGCGGUCGCGCCGGGGGCGGCGCAACGCGGCUCGGGCCCGACAGUGCCCCACCGGGGCCCUAGUUAGGGCCCGAGCGUAGCUGCUAAGCAGCUGCGAGAGCCCUCUUGUUCCUGUAGUUUCCUUCUUUUGUUAUUAUUAUUUUUCCUCCCCUUUGAACUGGAAAAUGGCCCACUUCCCACUGGCGAAAACUCAUGAAAUUUGGCAGGACGACCGGGCCUGGUGAAAAAUUUGAUAUUCUGAAGUCGCCCAAACAAGAAAAUGCAAAAUGGCUCCAUAGCGCCCCCUAAGGUGAAAAUUCACACUAUUGACUGUCACGCCUGUACGCUUUGUCAAAAUGACACAAAAAUUGACACACACAUGUAUCUCAAUAAGAUCUACAAAAAAGUCAGUGCGGGCGUAUCUGUCAAAUGUACGGUUAAAGGGUUAUUUCGCAUUUUUUGCCGAUCCGCACACAUUGGAAUUUCGCUAACUCCUCCGAAGGCUUUCGUUCCACCGGCACCACAUUUGCUCAGGCCAAUCUACACCCCAUGGCCAUUAAAAGUUAUUCAAAUCAUGACGCUGCACCCCACGGUUUAGGUUCUAGGGGGCGCCAAAGACAACCCUAAAAUCCACAUAUUUAAAAGUCUUAUAACUUUUUAUUUUUGCCCUCACAGGCCUCCAAGUUUUCUAGGAUGAUGCAAUGUCCAGCCAUCAACACAUUUGUGAAGGAAUUUUUACUCCCCAAAAGAGCGCCCCCCCAUGGCAGGAGAAAAAAGUCAAUUUUUUCUUGUCCCCUAAGGUGAAAAUUCACACUAUUGACUGUCACGCCUGUACGCUUUGUCAAAAUGACACAAAAAUUGACACACACAUGUAUCUCAAUAAGAUCUACAAAAAAGUCCAUGCGCGCGUAUC